AAAUAGAUAUUGCUUUUCAUAAGUAGCUUAUUGAAUAAACUGCCACAUAUUUUAAAAAUUUUUAUUAUAACCCUGUAUUUUAAUAAAAAGACAAUUGUAUCUUACUUAUCAAUAAACCCUUAUAUAUAAACCAUCAGAUAUCAUAUUACCACCAUAAACACGUACUACUUUUUUAAUCAAUAGUUUAUUUCAUUUGCACAACACAAACAACUUAUUUCAUCAGCCUCCGCAAUUCCAAAAUGAUCCUAUAUCUAAUAUGAAUUAGAGAAUACAAUUUCCUUUUUUCAUGAAUUAAACUUGCAAGAGAGAACUUUCUUUAACAAUUUUCGCAUAACUAGCCUAUACAAAGAAUCUAAGAUGAUUUACUCAUGGUUAAAUGAGUUAUACCAAAACCCAGUUUAAUUUAAUUAAUAUUUGUAUGGUUAUAUUUUAUUAUUGGUUACUACUUACCAUGAAUGUCAUGUCACGUCACCCCAAAGUCCGAUACCCGCCCUCAAUUCGACUUGUUGUCAAUGGGCUACAAGCUCAGGUGACCAUUUCAUUGCAAGUUACUUCAAGUUCAAGAUUGAAGUCCUGUUUGGGAUUGAAGCAUAAAUUAUAGCUAUUGUGAAAAUAAAAUUAUAAUUAUCAAAUAAAAAUUAAUAAUAUAUAGUAAAUAUAAAUUUUAAAAAAAUAAUUUUGAUAAAAUUAUUAAAGAUAUAAUAGAUUUUUCAUUAUACAAGUGAAAAAUCAUAACAAUAUAGUUUAUUAAUUACAUCAAUUAGUGUUUACUAAAUACUUUAAUAUUGUAACUUAAAAAUUAUAUCUGUUCAAACUCAAUCUCAAAUGCAUCAUCAAUCGUGAAUAAUUGUACCUUAAAUUAGUUUAUUAAUUACAUCAAUUAGUGUUUAUUAAAUAUUUUAAUAUUAUAACUUAAAAAUUAUAUCUGUUCAAACUCAAUCUCAAAUGCAUCAUAAAUUGUGAAUAAUUAUACCAAAAGCGUAUGUAUAUAAAUAAUAGUGUUUUAAUAUAAUAAUGUUUUCUUGCAAAUGGUAGUUCACUGAACACUUGGUGCCUUUGGUGGGUUGUCGAUAGAGCACCUCGUGAGGUGUAAAGCACUUGGUAAUGAUAUUGAUUUCGGCAAAUAGGAGUUAACUUGCGUUACUCGUAAUAAUUAAACCAGAUUAGGCGUGAUCUCGCAAAACGAUAAUUAAAUUUGGGCGUGGGCUUUAGUGCAAGUUUUUUAGCCACUUUGUAAACCUGGUACUACUUUUUGAUGAUAUAUAGUAACAUAGAUACACUACGCUGUAUGGUAAUAUAGAUACACUGCGCUGUAUGCUAAUACAAAUUCUUCCUUUUAAAAAAAUAAUUAAAAUGAAGAAAUCUUGUGAUUUUGAAAUAGUAAGUACCAAACACAAUUUUUAAUGUUUGAAAAACUAACCUUCUGCGUUUAAAUUAGAAUGUUUGAAAAUUUUCGUUUGAUAAGUCAAAAGGGCUGAUUUUCAACACGGGAUCCCAUGGCAAUUGAAAGAAGACAAUGGUGACGCGUGGCAUGAGGCUGUGAGGCAGGCAUCCAAAGCAGCCUCCGUUGGGAAAGAAUGAUUGACAUCCGUAAUGGACCGUUUUAGUUAGGUCCUCAACUUUUGUAUUUAUUCUAAUUUUGACCAAAAAUAAGGGCAAGCCACUUAAAAUAGUUCAAUUUUAUAGUAAACAAAUUGUGCUAAUAAUAUUUCCACUCACUAUGAUCAUUUUUUUUCUUUUAAAUAUUUUUUUUAAAAAUUAAUUUAUAAGUUUGAAUUGAUAAAUUAAUCAAAAAGAAGAGACUAAGUUACAAUUCUUAUAAAUAUCAUAUACGACAAGAUAAAUUUGUAUGAUCUUAUAUCGAUAGAUUUU
Molecule: long non-coding RNA, 1872 nt
Filed under: Citrus x clementina
Lineage: Eukaryota; Viridiplantae; Streptophyta; Magnoliopsida; Sapindales; Rutaceae
Description: Citrus clementina (C. clementina) long non-coding RNA (CCLE_LNC005600)
Source: RNAcentral